UUUGUACCUGCCAAGGCAAUCACAGAUCAAUUUCAAGACGUUUCUGUUUUCCUGAUUGGACUCCCAUUGAUAUGCUGAUUGAGCUUAGCUGCAAAGCAAACAGCCUUGCUGGGGAGAUUAGCCGACAGAGCAGGUUAACAUCCGGAGGUCAAAACAUCUCUCAAGAACCUCUUUGCCUUGGCUUCUCAGAGCCACCUUUGGAUUAUACAGUAAUUUCACCCGCCGCGACACCUCACUUUAUUCAUCAUAUCAGUCAUUCACCGAUUGGCUCUUCCUCAGACGGGAUGAGUGGCGACCACUUACCGUAUUCCAAACGAAGCCUGAGGAAAGACAAGCCCAGGCCGGCUUUCUGUUCCCACAAGGAUACAGUCACAGAAGCAGAGCUGAGCCUGGUGUGGAUCAACUGACCUCCAGCCGAUCCCUAGAUGCGUGAGCAAGCCCAGCCAAGAUCAGCACAGCCCAGCCAAGAUCAUCUGAGCCUGGACCAGACUAUCUGAUCCGUGGACACAAGAUACAGAAUAAACCCUCUUUGUG
Molecule: long non-coding RNA, 534 nt
Filed under: Equus caballus (horse)
Lineage: Eukaryota; Metazoa; Chordata; Mammalia; Perissodactyla; Equidae
Description: lncRNA (ENSECAG00000048851.1)
Source: RNAcentral